UGGUAACAGAAAUGGAUAGAGAAGAGAAGAGAAGAGAAGAGAGGAGAAGAAAGGAGGGUGAAGAUGUCGUCCACAUGUUUGCUACCACCUAUCAAUGGAGGCCACCUUCUCUUCUCUCUCAAUCACCAUCGCCUCUCUGCAACUCCCACUCCCUACAAGUGGGGAUGGAGAAGAUACCAGGCUGGAAACAUAGUUGCUUACAGAACCAAUGGCCACGCCCUUCAAAUGUUGCCCAAUCCUAAUGCGUCUCAAAAGAAAGGAAAUAAUGAGGUGAUCAUGGUUGAUCCUUUGGAAGCCAAGCGAUUGGCUGCCAAACAAAUGGAAGAAAUUAAAGCAAAGGAGAACUUCAGGAGAAAACGACAAAUAGAAGCAAUUAAUGGCGCAUGGGCGAUGAUUGGUCUGACAGCAGGCUUGGUUAUUGAAGGUCAAACUGGAAAAAGCAUUCUUGUUCAGCUGGCUGACUACUGGAGUGCUAUUGUCGACUUUUUCAUGCUAUAGAGAUUUGGAUGUCUGGCUGAAGAAUUGCAGAUUCGUUGCUGUAUCAUUCUUUACAAUUGACUAAAGAGAUAAUAGGACUAAAGAGCAGAAUAUGCAGCAUUUCUGUAGGAAAUCCAUAUCAAUAGGCAGCAUUUCAGUAGAAAAUCAUCACAUGGAGAAAACUUAAAAUCCAGAUCAAUAGACAGCAUUUCAGUAGGAAAAUACAUUCAAUCAAAGCAUUAGAUCCACGAUUCAAUCUCCACAUGAUGAGGAGGAGAUCAAGAGAGAUAUCAAUCUCCAAUCGAAAAUUUACCAUCUAACAUUAAUUGGGCUUCCUCCCUUUCAAGGCAUUGUACUUGCUGUGGAUCAUCUUUUUUAUAAAGGUGUGCAUCUGAAUGGAGUCACGAUCUGCCCAGUGGCCGAUCUGAAAUGAAAUUGGAGAGAGAGGAUUAAAGAACCAGAAAUCCUCCUUCUACAGAGAAAUUUCAGGAAUUGAUGAGAAGAAAUUGAAAAUCUAACAAUUCAGACGAAGCUUAGUUGCAGGUAAAAGGAGGUGAGGUCGUGACUCGUGAGGAUGAUGAGAGAAUGAUGAACAGAAGCGAUGCGUAGAACGAGGCUUCCACAAUUCCAUGGUUUUUGACUUUUUGGUGUUAUUGUGGGGGAGAUUUUGAGACUCUAGAGUCUCAUUUAAAAGAGUCCAUGUUGUUGUCAAACAUGGGAUAGUGUAACA
Rosa rugosa (rugosa rose) is the source of this 1207-nucleotide RNA transcript. RefSeq lists it as uncharacterized. The transcript has 6 exons. The record is from RefSeq and is a predicted model, not a curated record. NCBI's taxonomy places the organism in Eukaryota, Viridiplantae, Streptophyta, Magnoliopsida, Rosales, Rosaceae.